ACCUAUAAAAGGGAAUGCAACCUUUCCUUUCUUGAACACAUUUACCUACUGAGCAACUCUCUCUGCAGUCUUCUCCUUUCUCUUUACCGUGCAGGUUCUACUUUCUCUACUUGGCUGGCUUUUAGUUCGACCCUAACUCAACCCAAAGCUCCUCAACGGUCCCAGAGCUAGCUAGGUGCGUAUAUGAUGACAAAUCCAUCAAUCCCAUCUGUACUUAUGGAUGCAUGUUCAUGAGCUGAGAUUUGGUGCCUCUUUCACCUUAUAUGGGUUUCUUUUGCCUGGAUCUGAACUGGGUCUUUCUCAUAGCUAGGGUUUCUGUAAAUUCUUGUCUUGAAUUUGCAAAACCCCACCUUUUUGUGCUCUAUUUCUUUGCCAUUUCAUGCGCUUCUUUCUUUCUUUGUUGUACGGACAAUGUGAAAGUUUAUGAAUGUUCUUUUUCUUUUUUUUGGGAAGAGAAGAGGAUGGCUAGAGAGAAGAUCAAGAUCAAGAAGAUUGACAACAUCACAGCCAGGCAAGUGACUUUUUCCAAGAGGAGACGAGGUCUUUUCAAGAAAGCUGAAGAGCUUUCUGUUCUUUGCGAUGCUGAUGUUGCUCUCAUCAUUUUCUCUGCUACUGGCAAGCUGUUUGAGUAUUGCAGCUCCAGUAUGAAGGACAUAAUUGCAAGGCAUAAUCUGCAUUCCAAUAAGCUCGAUAAAUUAGACCGACCAUCUCUUGAGUUGGAGCUACAGAAUACCAAUCACGAGCGGUUGAGCAAGGAGGUGGCUGAAAAGACUCAUCAACUCAGGCAGAUGAGGGGAGAGGAUCUGCAAGGAUUAAACAUGGAGGACUUGCAGCAAUUGGAAAAAAUGCUUGAAACAGGACUUAGCCGUGUGCUUGAAACUAAAGUAUUUUUUUUGCAUCAACAUUGUUGCGAUUAUUGCUGGCUUUUGCAAGGGAUAUAUGUACACACACACAUGCUCAACAUAUGAUACUAGUUGAGUUUUUCGUUCUUUACAGGGAGAUAAGAUGAUGAAUGAGAUCUCUGCACUUGAAAAGAAGGUUAGAUACCUUUGUUAGUUCAAGAAAGAAGAUUGAACUUUAUCAUCUUCACUAACUUUGUUUAGGCUUUCAUAAUCUUGGCCGAAAGGUCGAGUUUAAUCGAUCAAAAUCAUAGUUUUCUUCCAUAAUAAUGCAGGGAGCUCUUCUGCUAGAAGAGAAUAAAGCGCUAAAACAGAAGGUAUUUAGACUACUUAACCAGUCGUAUUCCUUGUGUAGUUGAGCGGCAAGAGAUGAUUAGAUUGCAUCUGUUUACGAGUGCAGAUGAUGACAUUGUGCAAGGGAAAAAGGCCAGUUCUUUUGGAUUCGGAUUUGGCUGUCCAGCAGGAAGAAGGCAUGUCAUCAGAAUCCGCCACCAACGUAUGCAG
RNAcentral lists this unclassified non-coding RNA (1403 nucleotides) under Hevea brasiliensis (rubber tree). The record is from RNAcentral. Lineage: Eukaryota; Viridiplantae; Streptophyta; Magnoliopsida; Malpighiales; Euphorbiaceae.